This 974-nucleotide long non-coding RNA is filed under the name Aotus nancymaae (Ma's night monkey). RNAcentral's name for it is "lncRNA (ENSANAG00000038975.1)". The record is from RNAcentral. Lineage: Eukaryota; Metazoa; Chordata; Mammalia; Primates; Aotidae.
AGAGGACAACCUGUGACCCUGAAGCUUGCCUGGGCUGACAGGUUCUCGGCACACAGCACCACCUGGGACAGCUGCCUGGCCGCCUCCCUGGGGCAGGUAUGCAUGGCCUGGCCGCUGUGCCCAGUGUGGGGCUCCCCUUUGCUCCAGGCUUCUUGGCUGCCCCCCCCAGGUCAUGUACCCUAUUCUCUUCCCUAUCAGCUCCAGGAAACCUGGGGCCUGGACGCCCUCCAGGCCUGCAGAGCUGUAACACAGACCCCAGACAUGUUCACUGAACAGCUUGACCUGUCCUGGGGCCAGCAGCGCAUGCAGCAGAACUUGACAUAUGAGAGGCAUCGGCCAUCUCAGCCAGACAAGAUCAUCAUGGAGGCCACGCUGGAGCACAUCCUCAGGGCCUCUUGCGCCCAGCAGAGCUUCCGGGGAGAAGUACAGACUGACUACGCACACUGGCUGCGGCACUCCUUCCACCUGGGGGCUCUGUGACCUGCCCAGGGUGAGUCUGCCCUGGGGAAAGGGGAAGCUGGAAGACCAGGGACCCAUGGUGAGGGGGCAGCAGGGAGGGUGGUGCCCACAGAAUGCAGGGGUGUGAGCCAGGCAGCCAGAUGCCAGCAUGGUGGCUCUGCCAUUUGCCUGCUGGGUGACUGGGCAGGGCGCCUCUCCUCUCUGAGCCUCCAGUGUUUCAUCUGAGGAAUGAAAGCAGCAGCAGAUUCCAGGAUGUAGGUGAUGGUGAGAGUUAAGAGAGAUGUGAUGCGGGAAUGCUUAGCCUUCGUGUCUGGCACAGAAGUUAGAGUUGCUGUUGUCAUGAUUGCCUCAGAAGAGAGGUAUUGGGACCCCUUUUCCUCAACCCCUAUCCCCUCCUGGGGUUGGUAGCUGGUUGAUUGGUUCUUCUAUUCACCCACCCACUCAUCUAUCCAUUCAUUCUCCCAUCCUUCCAUCCUCCUUCCCAUCUUCCAUCCAUCCCCCUAUUUCUGCCCUCC